CACGUAGGGCGCAAGCGUUGUCCGGAAUUAUUGGGCGUAAAGAGCUCGUAGGCGGUCUGUUGCGUCCGCUGUGAAAACUCGGGGCUUAACCCCGAGCCUGCAGUGGAUACGGGCAGACUAGAGGUAGGUAGGGGAGAAUGGAAUUCCCGGUGUAGCGGUGAAAUGCGCAGAUAUCAGGAGGAGCACCGGUGGCGAAGGCGGGUCUCUGGGCCGAUACUGACGCUGAGGAGCGAAAGCGUGGGGAGCGAACAGG
Molecule: ribosomal RNA, 253 nt
Filed under: uncultured bacterium
Lineage: Bacteria
Description: partial 16S ribosomal RNA
Rfam family: Bacterial small subunit ribosomal RNA
Source: RNAcentral